GACGAACGUUGGCGGCGUGCUUAAUACAUGCAAGUCCACUGAAGCAGUGGUAGCAAUAUCGCUGUGGAGGUGGCGCACGGGUGAGUAACACGUAGGUAAUCUGCCUUCAGGUCUGGCAUAACUCCGGGAAACCGGGGCUAAUAGCAGAUGAUGCAGCGGCUCGACAUCGAGACAGUUGUUAAAGCUAUGGCGCCUGAAGAUGAGCCUGCGUCUGAUUAGCUAGUUGGCGGGGUAACGGCCCACCAAGGCAACGAUCAGUAGCUGGUCUGAGAGGAUGAUCAGACACACUGGAACUGAGACACGGUCCAGACUCCUACGGGAGGCAGCAGUAAGGAAUAUUGCUCAAUGGGAGAAAUCCUGAAGCAGCAACGCCGCGUGAGGGACGAAGGGCUUUUGCUUGUAAACCUCUGUAGUGAGAGAAAAAAAUCCCAAUCUUUGGGACAUGAUGGUAUCUCAAAAGUAAGCCCCGGCUAACUACGUG
Molecule: ribosomal RNA, 481 nt
Filed under: uncultured bacterium
Lineage: Bacteria
Description: partial 16S ribosomal RNA
Rfam family: Bacterial small subunit ribosomal RNA
Source: RNAcentral